AUGGAUGCCUUCCAAGAAGAUAGCUUCUCUCUGUCCUUUUCCUCCGCCUCUAAUGCAGAAUUUGAUGCUGUGUUUGGAUAUUUAGAAAACAUCAUCAUGGAUGAUGAGUUCCAGUUGUUACAGAGAAAUUUCAUGGACAAGUACUACCAGGAAUUUGAAGACAGAGAAGAGAAUAAAUUCACCUACACACCUAUUUUUAAUGAAUAUAUCUCUUUGAUAGAAGAAUGCUUUGAAGAACAGCUGCUGGAGCGGAUUCCUACAGUUAACAUGGCAGCUUUCACAACAACAUUACAACACCAUAAGGAUGAAGUGGUGGUGACAUGUUCAACAUGCUGCUCACAUUUACGGAUUUUCUGGCUUUAAAGAAAUGCUUCUGGACUACAGAGCAGAAAAAGAAGGCCAGGGAGGGACUUAAGCAGUGGUUGUAUGGCCACUUCACAGGGCAAAUCAUCUUCUGUGCCAACUUCCCAGAACGAUCUACAGCACUAG
RNA transcript from Otolemur garnettii (small-eared galago), 489 nucleotides. It is a transcript of the gene named ADP-ribosylation factor-like protein 2-binding protein, with no coding region annotated. The record is from RefSeq and is a predicted model, not a curated record. The transcript is spliced from 2 exons. Lineage: Eukaryota; Metazoa; Chordata; Mammalia; Primates; Galagidae.